Molecule: ribosomal RNA, 450 nt
Filed under: uncultured bacterium
Lineage: Bacteria
Description: bacterial SSU rRNA
Rfam family: Bacterial small subunit ribosomal RNA
Source: RNAcentral
GUGGGGAAUAUUGGACAAUGGGCGCAAGCCUGAUCCAGCCAUGCCGCGUGUGUGAAGAAGGCCUUCGGGUUGUAAAGCACUUUUGUCCGGGAAGAAAUCUUCCAGGUUAAUACCCUGGGAGGCUGACGGUACCGGAAGAAUAAGCACCGGCUAACUUCGUGCCAGCAGCCGCGGUAAUACGAAGGGUGCAAGCGUUACUCGGAAUUACUGGGCGUAAAGCGUGCGUAGGUGGUUCGUUAAGUCUGCCGUGAAAGCCCCGGGCUCAACCUGGGAAUGGCGGUGGAUACUGGCGGGCUAGAGUGCGGUAGAGGGUGGUGGAAUUCCCGGUGUAGCAGUGAAAUGCGUAGAGAUCGGGAGGAACAUCUGUGGCGAAGGCGGCCACCUGGACCAGCACUGACACUGAGGCACGAAAGCGUGGGGAGCAAACAGGAUUAGAAACCCUGGUAGUCC